This is a long non-coding RNA of Mustela erminea (ermine), 1850 nucleotides long. RefSeq lists it as uncharacterized. The transcript has 4 exons. NCBI's taxonomy places the organism in Eukaryota, Metazoa, Chordata, Mammalia, Carnivora, Mustelidae. The record is from RefSeq and is a predicted model, not a curated record.
AUCAAAUGGCAAGAUCCACCACUCCUGUGCUGUUAUUUAUCAGUCUCCACCAAAGAGAAUUAAUUUGCAAGAGACUUCCACUUUCAGCAUCCCAUAAAUUAUACCCAGUUACUGUGAAGUAAUGGGAGGAAAAUUUUAGUGAUUCAUUCAUAUUUUAUGAGAAACAAGACUGAAUUUUAUCCCUUCCUACAUAUCUUCACCCUAAAUCAACUAUUCAUUGUGUCAUUGUUCUUCAAAAUCAUGCAAUUCACAUGCUUUUUUACCGAUCCAGGGAAAAUUUCAAAAUAUAAAUGCCAAAUUUGUUUCCCAUCUUGGAAGUUUGCAAGAAAAGGAGGAAAUAUGAAAAUCAAUAGGGGAGAAAGUGCUUGUGUGAAAGAGGUGCAACACCCCGUGGAUGUCAAAGCCAGGCCCAACCUCUACUCAGAAGACACUGAGGAACCUACACCUGUCAAUUAUGGAAUAAUCAUGGACUAUGGACUAUUAUGAAGACACUAGAUUAUCAAAUAGCUACAUCUGUAUCAGUUGUCUGGGAAGAGGGGAAGAGCUAUAAUAGAGCUGUCUUCAUCCCACAGAUGGAAAUCACAUGUUGAAGAGGGGAGAAUAGCCUGUAUCACCCACCUCUGGAUCAUCAUAUCUUGGGAGAAGGAUGCAAGAUUCAAGAUCUUCUGUGACGAUAUAUCUAAAAACUCCUAUAGACAGACUCAGCAUCAUCUCCUAUAAUAGCAACCAAAAAAGCAAGCAUACACCAACACCUUCUUCAUCAUUCACUCCUCAUUUUUAUCUAUCAGAUUCCAUAAUUAUUUACCUCAUUAUUCUACCUAUCCAGUAGUCACUUUCCCCAGUUAUUUAGUAAAAGAAUUACACUUUUCAUCCUAACCACAUCUUCAACUAGAAUAUGUUCCACAUAAAAUUUUAAAGAUGAUUUUCAAGGAAAGUAAUAAAGUCACACAUUUGAAGGUUGAUGACUAGGCUUUAAAAAAAGAAAUUAGUAAAGUAAGUUGUCUGAAAGUCAAAAAUGUUUGCAACUUACAUACCUGAUGAAUAUAAAAAGAAUUCCUGGUCAGAACUACCAAGGAAUCCUAGAAGCAAUAUGAAACUCAUGCUGUGAAUCUGAAAAGGAAUGUAAAGUAUUAACAAGUACUAUCAAUGUACCAUCAUCACUGCCUAGAAAUAUUUUCCCCUUGCUUCUGAAACAUCAUCCAUUUUUAUCUGGAUUAUAACAGCUCCUCUUCUAUCUCCCUUGUUUUUCUGGCCAGUGGAAUCGAUGAGUCAUUUCACCAUCUGGGCUAGAGGAAAGGGAGAUGUAUGGCUGAAUAAAGCUCAGUAUUAUCUGCGUAAUGAUGGCCCUGCGGUCCAAAAUAUCUCUCUUUCUCAGUGUCCUCAUCCACACUUAGUUUCUCUCCAAAACAAAAUUAGGGGGUAUUCUACAAGAGCAAUUUAUGGCUACUUAUGCCCAGUUCUAAGUCAACAUUUCCAAACUCUUGGUAAUAGGAAGAGUAUGCAACAUUGACUUCUCAAAGGUUUGGUAAUGGCUGUAAAGUUUGGAUUAAAUUAAUUUAGGAAAAUAUAUAGCACCAUAUAUUUUUGAACUGCCAUUCAAAAUUCUAAAUAAUACCACUCCCCAAAAACAAGGUCAACACUUGAAAAGGAAAAUGCCAGUCUUUGCUUAGAGGUAGAGUUAGGGUUGCCCAAAUGCUGUAAGUUUUUAAUUCAUUGUGUGUGUGUGUGUGUGUGUGUGUGUGUGUGUGUGUGUACAUACAUGUAUACUCUGCUAAAUACCAGGGUACAGUGGUGAACAAAGUCGAUAUUUAUCUUGUCUUCAUGGAGUUUAUAGAUGAGUGGGAUCAAAC